This 329-nucleotide long non-coding RNA is filed under the name Phoenix dactylifera (date palm). RNAcentral's name for it is "long non-coding RNA (PDAC_LNC011950)". The record is from RNAcentral. Lineage: Eukaryota; Viridiplantae; Streptophyta; Magnoliopsida; Arecales; Arecaceae.
UAGACAGCAGUUUGUGGGUAUCUGAGCCGGAAACCCUCACGAGACAAAACUCGUCCACUAGGGCCACCUAGGGGUUUAAAGCCUUAUUGCAUACGGUAAAUGCAAUCGCGAUUCCUGCGAAAGUGAGUUAGCUAUUAUUUUGCUCGAGGACUAGCAAAGUGUAGGUUGGGGGGUGUGAUAAGUUCUAAAUAAUGCAUAAAUUAAUAUCUUUUUCAUAGCACUUAUCAUCAUUUUAAUGCACAUAUUUUAUAUUUAAACAUGAAAAAAAUAAAUGUUCCCUUUCAUCAUUACAUUUUAAUAAAGUAUUAAAAAUAAUUCAAGUUUGAUUU